Molecule: ribosomal RNA, 1210 nt
Filed under: metagenome
Description: bacterial SSU rRNA
Rfam family: Bacterial small subunit ribosomal RNA
Source: RNAcentral
GGGUGAUCGGCCGCACUGGAACUGAGACACGGUCCAGACUCCUACGGGAGGCAGCAGUGGGGAAUUUUGCGCAAUGGACGAAAGUCUGACGCAGCAACGCCGCGUGGGUGAUGAAGGUCUUCGGAUUGUAAAACCCUGUCGUCGGGGACGAAGGUUGGGGGGUUAAUAGCCCUUUAGCUUGACGGUACCCGGAGAGGAAGCCCCGGCUAACUCUGUGCCAGCAGCCGCGGUAAUACAGAGGGGGCAAGCGUUAUUCGGAAUUAUUGGGCGUAAAGGGCGCGUAGGCGGUGAUUCAAGUCGGAUGUGUAAUCCCCGAGCUCAACUUGGGAACUGCAUCCGAGACUGUGUUGCUAGAGUGCUGGAGAGGGUGGUGGAAUUCCUCGUGUAGCGGUGAAAUGCGUAGAGAUGAGGAGGAACACCAGUGGCGAAGGCGGCCACCUGGACAGUAACUGACGCUGAGGCGCGAAAGUGUGGGGAGCAAACAGGAUUAGAUACCCUGGUAGUCCACGCUGUAAACGAUGAACACUUGGUGUGGUGGGAGUUGACCCCUGCCGUGCCGUAGCUAACGCGAUAAGUGUUCCGCCUGGGGAGUACGGUCGCAAGGCUGAAACUCAAGGGAAUUGACGGGGGCCCGCACAAGCGGUGGAGCAUGUGGUUUAAUUCGACGCAACGCGAAGAACCUUACCUGGGCUUGAACUGCUACGGACCGGUGCAGAGAUGUGCCUUUUCGCAAGAAUCGUAGCAGAGGUGCUGCAUGGCUGUCGUCAGCUCGUGUCGUGAGAUGUUAGGUUAAGUCCCGCAACGAGCGCAACCCUUACCUGUAGUUGCCAGCGAGUCAAGUCGGGAACUCUACAGGGACUGCCCGGGUUAACCGGGAGGAAGGUGGGGAUGAUGUCAAGUCCUCAUGGCCCUUAUGUCCAGGGCUACACACGUGCUACAAUGGGCGAUACAAACCGUUGCCAAGUCGCGAGAUGGAGCUAAUCGGAGAAAGUCGCCCUCAGUUCGGAUUGCAGGCUGCAACUCGCCUGCAUGAAGGUGGAAUCGCUAGUAAUCGUGUAUCAGAACGAUACGGUGAAUACGUUCCCGGGCCUUGUACACACCGCCCGUCACAUCACGAAAGCCGGGAGCACUUGAAGAGGCUGCGGCAACCCGCAAGGGGGCUAGGUCUCUAUGGUGAACUUGGUGAUUGGGGUGAAGUCGUAACAAGGUA